This 232-nucleotide ribosomal RNA is filed under the name uncultured bacterium. RNAcentral's name for it is "partial 16S ribosomal RNA". It matches the Rfam family "Bacterial small subunit ribosomal RNA", at positions 118 to 347 of the family's 1533-position model. The record is from RNAcentral.
UGAGGAACAUGACCUUCGGCGGGGGAUAGCCGGCCCAACGGCCGGGUAAUACCGCGUACGACCACAUGGGGACAUCCCCGAGUGGUGAAAGCAGCAAUGCGCCGAUGGAGUGCCUCGCGGCCUAUCAGCUAGUUGGUGAGGUAACGCUCACCAAGGCGACGACGGGUAGCUGGUCUGAGAGGAUGGCCAGCCACAUUGGGACUGAGACACGGCCCAGACCUCCGUAGGGAGG